Molecule: non-coding RNA, 326 nt
Organism: Caenorhabditis elegans
Lineage: Eukaryota; Metazoa; Nematoda; Chromadorea; Rhabditida; Rhabditidae
Source: Ensembl
AGGAACGUAUAACAAAUUAGCAGGAACGUUGGGCUACCAACAAUUGAAAAAAUAAAACAAAAUUAAAAAUUUUAUGAAGCAAAAUUUUUAACCGGUUAAGCAACACCUGGAGUACCAGCAGCAUACGGUGGCGGUGGAAGCAUGUUGGCUCUUUUCAGGAGGCUCACAAUAUCAAUUGGACGAUUAUCGGAGAAAUUUGUAAUAUGGAUGGUCUAAUCCAAAGCAAACUUCGAAAAUAUUCAUAGCAUCAAAUGCGUAUGGCAUGGCUUCAUCUCUCUCGUCUUUUUCAAUUAAUGCUUUUACAAUAUGAAGAAGUUGGAAUCCAA